Small nucleolar RNA from Octodon degus (degu), 134 nucleotides. The record is from Ensembl. Lineage: Eukaryota; Metazoa; Chordata; Mammalia; Rodentia; Octodontidae.
ACGCGCUGCCUUUGGGCCCCCGUCGCGCCUGUGUGUGGCGCCGGGGGUCAAGCUGCAGCGCCAGAGAACGCGCUCGCGCAUAACUGGGGCCGCCUGCCCUCCGCCGACGGCCCUUUUAACCGCGAGCAACACAG